Molecule: long non-coding RNA, 968 nt
Organism: Bos taurus (domestic cattle)
Lineage: Eukaryota; Metazoa; Chordata; Mammalia; Artiodactyla; Bovidae
Source: Ensembl
UUCUCCUCAUUGUGGGUCAGCGUUUCCUGCUUCUUCGCAUGCCUGUGAAGAGAUGAGAGAGAUUUCAGACUGUAAUUAACAGAUACUUCUCUACAAAUAUAUUUGGGAAUGGGAUUUUGGUGUGGCUGAUUAGUACUCUGGUAUGUGGGAUAUUAGUUUCCCAACUGGAGACAGAACCUGCAUCCCGUCCCACCCCCCAACUUGGAAGGGAAAGUCUUAACCACUGGACCCCUAGGUAAGUCCCUGAAUGACCUUUUAUUAGACCAAAUUCUGCUUGCAAUCUACAUCUUAAAAGCACAUGGAAUGUACCAGGCCACCUAUUACAAUGUGCUGGUAAGCACUCUGGCUUGGUUGUUAGGAGGCCUGAAUUUGAGCCUUAGUUGUGCGGCCUCUGGCAAGUCAACUUCAUCUCUGAACUUUAUCUCUGCACCAUGGGACCGGGGGUCCCGACUUCUAUGGACCUCUAGAUGAGAAGGAAAUUCUCAGCUAUUUAAAUGAUCUCUUACUUCUCAUAAGUAGAGACUCAGAAAUGUGUCUGACUCCUACUAAAGUAGAAACAGCUGCAGAGCAGGAAAGAGAAGAGCGAUUGAAAAGGAUAUAAUUGAAAAUAAGCAAGAGAGAGCACUGGAGGGUGACUCUCAGGAGAUAUGAACUCUAGUCCCAGCUAUGCCAGUGGCUGAGGGUGUGAUCUUGAGUUAGUCAUUUUCUUUCUCUAGGGCCUGGCUUCUUCCUCUGUGAAAUAAGGUGACAGGUCUCAGGCCCCUCCCAGUUACAAAUUCUAUUAAUAUAUGAUUCUAGAUUAUAGAAUGAGGAGUGUCUGUUGUAGCCUCACUUGAUUCUUACAGGACCUCCUUGUUAUUCAGGGGCCUCAGCACAAUGUUGACUUUUUAAUCUUUUAAUUCAUUCUCAUGUCAUCCAUGAAGUAAAUCAGAAGAGAAAAUCCAGAUGAACAUUCCCAUUUAAGCCAG